UACGUAGGGUGCGAGCGUUGUCCGGAAUUAUUGGGCGUAAAGGGCUCGUAGGCGGUCUGUCACGUCGGCUGUGAAAACUCGGGGCUCAACUCCGAGCCUGCAGUCGAUACGGGCAGACUAGAGUUCGGUAGGGGAGACUGGAAUUCCUGGUGUAGCGGUGGAAUGCGCAGAUAUCAGGAGGAACACCGGUGGCGAAGGCGGGUCUCUGGGCAGUAACUGACGCUGAGGAGCGAAAGCGUGGGGAGCGAACAGG
This 253-nucleotide ribosomal RNA is filed under the name uncultured bacterium. RNAcentral describes it as "partial 16S ribosomal RNA". It matches the Rfam family "Bacterial small subunit ribosomal RNA", at positions 524 to 776 of the family's 1533-position model. The record is from RNAcentral.